UGGGGAAUUUUCCGCAAUGGGCGAAAGCCUGACGGAGCAAUGCCGCGUGGAGGUGGAAGGCCUACGGGUCGUCAACUUCUUUUCUCGGAGAAGAAACAAUGACGGUAUCUGAGGAAUAAGCAUCGGCUAACUCUGUGGCAG
Molecule: ribosomal RNA, 141 nt
Filed under: uncultured bacterium
Lineage: Bacteria
Description: partial 16S rRNA
Rfam family: Bacterial small subunit ribosomal RNA
Source: RNAcentral